UUUUUGUAACUACAGUUUCCAAAUUUGAUAUAUGAUAUUUUAUAAUUCAAGAUAAGAAUGACAGCUGUAUAAAAUUUUAUAAAUUUUCCUAAUUAUCUUCAAAAUCGAAGUUUGUAAUAUAAAACCUAAAAACUAAAACAAAAACUAAUUUUUUAGGACAUAAAACAACAUAAACUUGUCAGGAGAAUGACUGUUGUUAGCAGCUCUAUAUAUAAAGUUAAGACAUACAAACUCGCAGACAUAAUAAAAUUGCUGUUUUUUGAAAGAUCUACAUUAAACUCAAGACAUACAAACUCGCAGACAUAAAAUUAGAUAGUGGGAGAGAUCCAAGACAAGGAAGAAAGCAAGGACAGACACACCCAACGAUUGCAAACAUUAGAUUCAACUUAAG
This 391-nucleotide long non-coding RNA is filed under the name Brassica rapa (field mustard). Its description in RNAcentral is "long non-coding RNA (BRAP_LNC006077)". The record is from RNAcentral. Lineage: Eukaryota; Viridiplantae; Streptophyta; Magnoliopsida; Brassicales; Brassicaceae.